GCUAGCUGAGUAGCUUCCUCACAUGAAAGAAUCCAAAGUCGCUGUCAGAAUUCGAACUCACAGCGGUGAGAGAUAAGUGGUUUGAAGCUUACGAUCUUAAUCACUUUAUGAUUUAAGUAAUUACUUAAGCCGCCUCCUGCCGGCAUUCUUACAUUUGUUAUAUUUUCUUUUAUCUAGAAACAGUUAAUGGACAGACAUUCUGUGAUUUCUUACAAACAAAUGGCGCCGCCUAUAAUGGUUUGAUGGGGAGAGAGGAAGUCAUGCUAAUGCUGUCUCUAAGAGAUCCAAGAGUUUUUCAGAGUAUGGUGUCAGACGCUGUCGGCUGUGGUGUACAGAGAAUUGGACAAACCAUGAGUUCUCUCGGAAGUUCUGUCAGAGAACUGGGAGGUAGCAUGUAUUCCAGUGUCAGAAGUUGGUUCACCUAGACAUAAUACAGGCAUUGUUAUGAUGAUGUGAAAUAUGAACAAUGUACAACAUAUUGAAAUAUACGAGUUUUAGUUGUUUAAACAACAUAUUAGCAAUUAUGAUAAGAU
Molecule: long non-coding RNA, 533 nt
Organism: Ruditapes philippinarum (Manila clam)
Lineage: Eukaryota; Metazoa; Mollusca; Bivalvia; Venerida; Veneridae
Exons: 2
Source: RefSeq, a predicted model, not a curated record